AUCCUGGCUCAGAUUGAACGCUGGCGGCAGGCCUAACACAUGCAAGUCGAGCGGUAGAGAGGUGCUUGCAUCUCUUGAGAGCGGCGGACGGGUGAGUAAUGCCUAGGAAUCUGCCUAGUGGUGGGGGAUAACGUUCGGAAACGGACGCUAAUACCGCAUACGUCCUACGGGAGAAAGCGGGGGGAUCUUCGGACCUCACGCCAUUAGAUGAGCCUAGGUCGGAUUAGCUAGUUGGUGUGGUAAUGGCUCACCAAGGCGACGAUCCGUAACUGGUCUGAGAGGAUGAUCAGUCACACUAGAACUGAGACACGGUCCAGACUCCUACGGGAGGCAGCAGUGGGGAAUAUUGGACAAUGGGCGAAAGCCUGAUCCAGCCAUGCCGCGUGUGUGAAGAAGGUCUUCGGAUUGUAAAGCACUUUAAGUUGGGAGGAAGGGUAGUAACCUAAUACGUUGCUACUUUGACGUUACCGACAGAAUAAGCACCGGCUAACUUCGUG
This 497-nucleotide ribosomal RNA is filed under the name uncultured bacterium. RNAcentral describes it as "bacterial SSU rRNA". It matches the Rfam family "Bacterial small subunit ribosomal RNA", at positions 16 to 507 of the family's 1533-position model. The record is from RNAcentral.